Molecule: ribosomal RNA, 1129 nt
Filed under: Salmonella enterica
Lineage: Bacteria; Pseudomonadati; Pseudomonadota; Gammaproteobacteria; Enterobacterales; Enterobacteriaceae
Description: bacterial SSU rRNA
Rfam family: Bacterial small subunit ribosomal RNA
Source: RNAcentral
GGUAACAGGAAGCAGCUUGCUGCUUUGCUGACGAGUGGCGGACGGGUGAGUAAUGUCUGGGAAACUGCCUGAUGGAGGGGGAUAACUACUGGAAACGGUGGCUAAUACCGCAUAACGUCGCAAGACCAAAGAGGGGGACCUUCGGGCCUCUUGCCAUCAGAUGUGCCCAGAUGGGAUUAGCUUGUUGGUGAGGUAACGGCUCACCAAGGCGACGAUCCCUAGCUGGUCUGAGAGGAUGACCAGCCACACUGGAACUGAGACACGGUCCAGACUCCUACGGGAGGCAGCAGUGGGGAAUAUUGCACAAUGGGCGCAAGCCUGAUGCAGCCAUGCCGCGUGUAUGAAGAAGGCCUUCGGGUUGUAAAGUACUUUCAGCGGGGAGGAAGGUGUUGUGGUUAAUAACCGCAGCAAUUGACGUUACCCGCAGAAGAAGCACCGGCUAACUCCGUGCCAGCAGCCGCGGUAAUACGGAGGGUGCAAGCGUUAAUCGGAAUUACUGGGCGUAAAGCGCACGCAGGCGGUCUGUCAAGUCGGAUGUGAAAUCCCCGGGCUCAACCUGGGAACUGCAUUCGAAACUGGCAGGCUUGAGUCUUGUAGAGGGGGGUAGAAUUCCAGGUGUAGCGGUGAAAUGCGUAGAGAUCUGGAGGAAUACCGGUGGCGAAGGCGGCCCCCUGGACAAAGACUGACGCUCAGGUGCGAAAGCGUGGGGAGCAAACAGGAUUAGAUACCCUGGUAGUCCACGCCGUAAACGAUGUCUACUUGGAGGUUGUGCCCUUGAGGCGUGGCUUCCGGAGCUAACGCGUUAAGUAGACCGCCUGGGGAGUACGGCCGCAAGGUUAAAACUCAAAUGAAUUGACGGGGGCCCGCACAAGCGGUGGAGCAUGUGGUUUAAUUCGAUGCAACGCGAAGAACCUUACCUGGUCUUGACAUCCACAGAACUUUCCAGAGAUGGAUUGGUGCCUUCGGGAACUGUGAGACAGGUGCUGCAUGGCUGUCGUCAGCUCGUGUUGUGAAAUGUUGGGUUAAGUCCCGCAACGAGCGCAACCCUUAUCCUUUGUUGCCAGCGGUCCGGCCGGGAACUCAAAGGAGACUGCCAGUGAUAAACUGGAGGAAGGUGGGGAUGACGUCA